GUUGAAAUUUCAGGGUUAAAAAUUUCCGAGUUGAUUUUCACUCCCAGAGUGUAAUUUUAACACAUUCUGAUUUAAAUGGUGUUCAGUGUUAUUUGGUUAUUUGGCAGAGUUGAUCAUGUCAGUGUUAACCCAACUCCGCAGAGAUGUAAUUAAGCUCCGCCCAUGCCUUUCACCUCUUCGGUUAGAGACAGAGAAGACAAGUCUGCACCAUUUUCUACCUCUCAUGCAGUACUACACGUCAUGGAGAGAUUUGGCCUGCCACCUGAUGCAAAUGUUAUAUACAAAGGAUGCAACAGGGACAGAAGUUGAUGCAGAAAUAUUCAGCGACCUCGUUGGACAAGGCAAUGUGGUCCUGACAGUUUUCUCAGAUCAGGGUGAGAUAUCAAGGCAGACGUCUGACUCAAGCUUCAGCUCAAGUGCAUCAACUAUAAUCCUAGAUGUUCCUAACAAGAGACAAAGAAUUGAGGAUACACGUGAUGCUGUGUCUGCUAAACAGUUGAUAGAAGCUGUGCUAAGAGGCAAGUCUGGAGGUGAAGAAGUACUACAGAAGUACCAAACAACAGAAACCCUAACAGAUGCUGCAAGAAGACAAAUGGUUAAUUUCCUGGUGGCUCACAUGAUUGACAAUCAUGGGCACUGCCCCACUAAAACAAUCAGAGAAGAUUAUGCACGUGGGAUAGUGAUGCUGUUCCCUUCCCUUAAGGAUCCAUACUCCAAGAAGGGCUAUGAACACUUCUAUGAUGCUGCAAGCAGCACAGGAUACAUUUCUUGGCGUCUGAAAACAGUCCAGAGGAAGAUUCGUCAAGGAUCUGCACAGCCACUCUUUCAUCUCCUUCCACCACCUCCAGGGGGACUGAAGUCUCCAAAAAUUAGUGCAUGUGAUGCAGUUGAAAGACUUGUUGUAUUUCAUAAGUCAUGCUGCAGUUUGGAGGAGCAUCUCCGCAACCAGCAGGGUCGGCAGCCGUACCUCCUCGCUGUUGGGCGUCAGAAGAGCAAGAUUGACAGCCUCUACAUCACCAUGGAUAAGCGUCUCAUCCCAUGCAAGGCAAACCGCUUCCUCGGGGCAUGUGAUGAACUUUUCAAAGCACAUUUUGUGUUUAAUUUGUCUUACGAUGUGGCACUUGUGAAUUUUUAUACAUUCCUGCAGACAACAGUGUAUAACAUUGAUGUGGGGAAAAUGAAGGAGUCACCCAGAGUUAAAGACUUGAGAGCAAGACUGCUUAACCAGCCAGUAGCAUUCUCACCCUGUGAGUAAGAAGCUAUAACAAUGCUGACCUGUUUCAUGUGUUGAAAAACAAGCUAUUUACAGAGAAUUUUCAUGACCAUCAUCAUGCAUUCAGAGUAUUACAAAAUGCGGAAAGAUGUUUACUAAAAAUGUCUGCGCUUAAAUUUCAUAAACCGUUUCAUAUUCAAAGCUCAUACAAUGUUUUGGAUGGAAGUUUGUACAUUAUACCUUCAUUCACAAUGUUUUAAUUCAACUGACUGCAAGGGAGAAAAGGAAUAAAUGUUUUUGAAAAUG
Gasterosteus aculeatus aculeatus (three-spined stickleback) is the source of this 1519-nucleotide long non-coding RNA. NCBI's taxonomy places the organism in Eukaryota, Metazoa, Chordata, Actinopteri, Perciformes, Gasterosteidae. The record is from Ensembl.